This 292-nucleotide ribosomal RNA is filed under the name uncultured bacterium. RNAcentral describes it as "partial 16S ribosomal RNA". It matches the Rfam family "Bacterial small subunit ribosomal RNA", at positions 505 to 796 of the family's 1533-position model. The record is from RNAcentral.
GUGUCAGCAGCCGCGGUAAUACGUAGGGUGCGAGCGUUGUCCGGAAUUAUUGGGCGUAAAGGGCUCGUAGGCGGUUUGUCGCGUCGGGAGUGAAAACGCCGUGCUUAACACGGCGCUUGCUUCCGAUACGGGCAGACUAGAGGUAUUCAGGGGAGAACGGAAUUCCUGGUGUAGCGGUGAAAUGCGCAGAUAUCAGGAGGAACACCGGUGGCGAAGGCGGUUCUCUGGGAAUGACCUGACGCUGAGGAGCGAAAGUGUGGGGAGCGAACAGGAUUAGAUACCCGAGUAGUCC